GGCUUCUAUUUUCCGGAUUGUGUUUGUUUCGUUAGAUUAUGUUCUUGUUGGUUAUUCUUUGAUUAAUAUAGCAUGUUAUUGAUUUGGGUUAGUUCAAUUGUGCUAGUUUUCCAUCUUAUUCCUGAAUUUCAUAGAAGUUUGGGAACUGGGCAAAAAUACUUGAGCUUUGUUUCAAUUCUAUUUUUAUUCCGUUUAGGAUUUGAGGUGAGUGACUUCCUUAAUUACUUGAUUUCAUUGGGGAAUUUUGGGUUUAAUGCAGUUUUGGAUUUUCCGUUUGGUUUUCUUACAAUUUUUGCAGGUAAUAUAUGAGAAAUUUAUGAAUGCUAUACGUGAAAGUUGGUGUCUAGGUAGUAAUUCGGUCUCAUCUGUUCUUUUUGUCUUCAAGUAAUCAAUUUGUAUGAAAUUUGAUUGGGAAGCAAGUGCUUCAAUCUCAUAGUUUUUGUUUUUGUUUUUCAUCACUAUCAAGCAGAGUAGGUAUUAUUUGAGAUUAGGAUUAAAACUCUACUGCACCCAACAAGCAAAGGAGCAUGCAGUGGUAAAUCCUUUUCAUUAUUUCUAGGGAUACUAGUGAAUUGCAGUGGUACUAGUAGUUGUAUCACUAAUCUUUUUUUUUUUUUCCUGUAUUGUUUUUGAUUUGGUGCAUAAGGGCAGCUUUGAGGUUUUCUUUCUUUGAUCUCUUUAAGGUCAGAAAAGCCUCAAUUUAUUCCUUUUGUAUUUGUUUGCUAACAUUUUCUUUGAGCACAUGCAUAUCUAUAGUGUCACUGGAUUUAGCUUUUACAUUUAACCAUUUAAAAGAGCUGCUGGUAUUUGCCUUCUUGCAUUUUCAGUUGAAGCUUGUAGGAGAAACAUCAAGUUCAAUGGUUCAGUUGCAUGUUCAAAGGUGGAAUCACAUCUUGGUGAUGUUCGUGUGCAUAUAUAUGUUAAUUCCUUGAUGGUCAUUGCUUUCUUUUUUCAAUUCUUUUGCCACUGGUUUUGUUAAUCUCACUUGCCUUGAUCAGAGUAGCUCUUUCAAGGUCUUUGUAUUCCUUUCUUAUAAAAAAACGUCAUUUCAAACCAUGAAGCAUUGUUGACUUGUUGAGUUUCUGAAGCAUGUUACCUUGCUAUUUUUAUUGAAGUUAAUGUUGAUAAAAUUCAAGUUGUCUUGCUUUGUUGUCUUUGAGUAAAAAUUAACCUGUUAGAUUUCUUGUUGUGCUUCUAGAAAUUUGAAAAUUUAAUAUCAAGCAUUUUUGAUAGCUACCAAAAUAAAAGCAUAUAUGAAGGAAAAUAUCAUUGGACAAGUGGUUCAACUAUUUGUGUUGUAGAUGCUUAAUCCUUUGCAGACCAUACAAUGGUCUGAAGUGUAAGCUUGGCACUUUGGUAGGUUGCUCCAUUGCAACCUGAAGGUCCCGGGUUUGAAGGGGGAGAUAGCCUCUCCCAGAUGGGGUCAACAGUCUCUAGGCUCUGCAAUGGCUGGAUUCCCAUGCAUAUUGAGCUGUCUGUAAAAUAGACGAGAAGGCAAUCAAUGAGGUAUUUCUGAAAGUCCUGGAUAAUUAGAUCAAAUGGUGCAAAUACCUGCGGAUCUGGCUUCACAAGCAAUUAAUCGGGACAUAAACUUUUUCUGGUGUCAUUGUACUUUCUGAUAUGGGGUGAGGCUGCAAAUGUCCACUUUUUUCCUGAAUGCAUUUGCUACAUGUUUGACCAUAUGGCGAAGGAGUUAGAUGCUAUUCCUGCUGCUGGCUGCACAAUAGAAAAUGAUUAUGUGUCCUUCCUCAAGCAGAUUGUUUAUCCUAUGUAUGAAACAUUGGCAGCGGAAGCUGCUAGAAACAAUAACGGGAAAGCUGCACAUUUCAGUGUGGCGGAAUUAUGACGACUUCAAUGAAUACUUUUGCUUUGUUUGCUUGUCAUUCAAUUAUGGAUGAACAAUGUGAUUCCUUCUUUUUGGUGUGUGAAGCGUCUGUGGAAUAUGCAGGUCACCUGCUUGUUUAGUUGAGCUAAGAGAUUGGAUGAAGAUUGUGGAAUCGUAAGUCCCUUGUAUUGAUCAUACGUAUUCGAUUGUUGCUGAAGGAAAGCAUCAUUUUUGUGCUUCUCUGCUGGUCCAAUAUUCAUGCACUGUGUGGCAUGUUUUGUAACAAAUAGUUUGUAUUUGUAUCAGCUUUUGAUGUCCCAGGUAGAUGGGCAUGCAUUUGAAUGCUUUUCUUCUUUUAAUGUUGGCUUGAAUGAUUGGGAAAUCCUUCCUUUUAACGUUUGAAUGCUUUUCUUCAAAUAGUAUGAGUUGGAUUACUCUUUAUUCAUA
Rosa rugosa (rugosa rose) is the source of this 2272-nucleotide long non-coding RNA. RefSeq lists it as uncharacterized. Lineage: Eukaryota; Viridiplantae; Streptophyta; Magnoliopsida; Rosales; Rosaceae. The transcript has 5 exons. The record is from RefSeq and is a predicted model, not a curated record.